Molecule: non-coding RNA, 1410 nt
Organism: Paramuricea clavata
Lineage: Eukaryota; Metazoa; Cnidaria; Anthozoa; Malacalcyonacea; Plexauridae
Source: the annotation of a GenBank genome assembly
GCGUUACCUCCAGAAACCGCACUUUUCGCCACCCAAUUUUUGGCAACAAAGGAUUUGCGUGAUUUAUUAAAAAAUGAUAUUUUACAAUAAAUAUUAGGAUGGGCUACAAAGUAUGAAGUUUCAAUAGCCUCCGUUAUAAUUUAAAUAAAUAUUUUAAAACAUUGAACUCAUGUUUAAUGACUAUAUGUCAAUUAUUGGUUAAAAAUGUCGGUGUCUCUAUGAAUGCUACUAUUUAUUAAAAAGACAACAGCUCAAUUUGUAUGUUAAUGAGUUUGAACUCCAUUGGUGGGAUGGUGUAUGGGUAACUUCUGUUUGUGGAUACAUGAUGAUGCCUGUAGUGUUAUAAUUUGUUGGCAAUUUAGUGCAUGAAUACAGUAGUAGGAAGUCAGGUGACCUUGACAAGCAAGGCUGUAGGAAAAGCUUAUUCAACCAAGCCGGUUUAACUUGAAGCUGGAUAAUCGACGAAUUCACCCUUCGUCAACGAUGUUCGUAUACGUAUACGCAGUGUAUAUACAUCGCACAUGUUAUACCCAGUUUGUGGUGUAGCUUUGUUCAUAUGUUGUCUGGGCUGGUAUGUGGUUAGGUUUCCUGGGUUGGGCUAGAAAUUCUGUCGCAGUAGAGACUUCAGUAGUCUUCAGUAGCCAUGAUAAGCAACGCGGUAGGAAAGGCAGAUAAGUUUAAAACCGUUCUGUCACUUAUAGGCAGCAACGAUUUUGCCACGUUUUGCUGACGACGAAGAAAAGCAGUGAGCUCUAUAUACACCUGGAGCGAGGACUCGAGUGAAAAAAAGUGAAGCUAAGAUGGCGGAAAUAGGCGCCAGUCCCUUUUUUGUCUGCGCGGUUAAUACAAAGCUGCAGGGAUAGUUCGUGUUUUUACUUCGAUUUAAAGAAUAAUGCCAUGGUUUUAUGAAUUGAUAACUUGAUUGGCGAUGCGGUCCGUUAGAAAAACUGGAAUUAGCUGGGAAAGUGGUACACUGUGUGUUAUGGCACAGAUUGUGGACGUCAAUUCCGCGGCCAUCUUUGCUUCACUUUUCUUACGGGUGGAGUAACUGAAUUUCUUGCGCCAGAUAUAGAGCUGACUGGAAAAAGUCUCCUCGCGCGUAAUAAUUCGCUGUUAUAGGCUACGUUUCCAGUUAAACAUAUAUAUUCUUAAUACCUACGUAGACGCACGGAAACGUUUAAAGCCAUUUAAAUCUUAAUAAUGAAAUUCACAUAAGAACAGCAUGUAGGACGCUUUCCAUUAACACGUCGAGACCUGUCACAACGCUCAUUUUUAGUGUGAAGUUUCACUUCACACUAUUGUGAUGGCUGGCGAAUUCACACGAAUCAGUCAGUCAGUCAGUCAGUCAGUCAGUCAGUCAGUCAGUCAGUCAGUCAGUCAGUCAGUCAGUCAUAGAGUAAACUUUCCGGG